GGCGUGCUUAACACAUGCAAGUCGAACGAUGAAGCCCUUCGGGGUGGAUUAGUGGCGAACGGGUGAGUAACACGUGGGCAAUCUGCCCUUCACUCUGGGACAAGCCCUGGAAACGGGGUCUAAUACCGGAUAUGACUACCGGCCGCAUGGUCUGGUGGUGGAAAGCUCCGGCGGUGAAGGAUGAGCCCGCGGCCUAUCAGCUUGUUGGUGGGGUGAUGGCCUACCAAGGCGACGACGGGUAGCCGGCCUGAGAGGGCGACCGGCCACACUGGGACUGAGACACGGCCCAGACUCCUACGGGAGGCAGCAGUGGGGAAUAUUGCACAAUGGGCGAAAGCCUGAUGCAGCGACGCCGCGUGAGGGAUGACGGCCUUCGGGUUGUAAACCUCUUUCAGCAGGGAAGAAGCGAAAGUGACGGUACCUGCAGAAGAAGCGCCGGCUAACUACGUGCCAGCAGCCGCGGUAAUACGUAGGGCGCAAGCGUUGUCCGGAAUUAUUGGGCGUAAAGAGCUCGUAGGCGGCUUGUCACGUCGGAUGUGAAAGCCCAGGGCUUAACCCUGGGUCUGCAUUCGAUACGGGCAGGCUAGAGUUCGGUAGGGGAGAUCGGAAUUCCUGGUGUAGCGGUGAAAUGCGCAGAUAUCAGGAGGAACACCGGUGGCGAAGGCGGAUCUCUGGGCCGAUACUGACGCUGAGGAGCGAAAGCGUGGGGAGC
Molecule: ribosomal RNA, 712 nt
Filed under: Streptomyces sp. SpC090624SC_06
Lineage: Bacteria; Bacillati; Actinomycetota; Actinomycetes; Kitasatosporales; Streptomycetaceae
Description: bacterial SSU rRNA
Rfam family: Bacterial small subunit ribosomal RNA
Source: RNAcentral